UGAGAAUAAUGUUUUUAUGGCGUAUGGACUAUGGUCUGCCGAUUAAAUAUGCCAACGAACUAAAUUUCGAUUGGAAAUAAUCGAAAACGUCUUCCUUUGUCAAUGUCAAAGAUAGUAGAUUUGAAUAACCAGUUUCACUUCUGAGGAAUAGCAAGAAACUGUGAGUCAUCUGUUAGACAUGCCGAGCAGUGAACAAGUACAGACUCUUUACGGGAUACCGAUGAGGCAACAAAACCUUACCCGUUUCAAGAUCAAGAAGAAUGGUGAAACCACCACACAGAUAUCCAUACAAAUCUGUCGAAGCUCAGGAAAAAACAUUUUUUUUGGGAAGAACACUCCAGUGAAAGGCUGCCACUGUCAUUUGAUGGGGUACCAUUCAUGAUCCUAGGUAGGGAGGUGCGGGAAUGCUGCCAUGGUCCGGACAGGCACCGAGCAGAGAAAAUAAAGGCAGCCCAA
Molecule: long non-coding RNA, 456 nt
Organism: Mya arenaria
Lineage: Eukaryota; Metazoa; Mollusca; Bivalvia; Myida; Myidae
Exons: 3
Source: RefSeq, a predicted model, not a curated record